GAAGAAGAUGACGAUGAUGAUGAUCUUUUUGUUUAUGUUGGUGGCGAUGAAGGAAAAGAUUCUAAGAAAACGGUGAGACUUGAGUUAAAGCGCAGGUACGGGUCGAUGAAUCAAGAAUCUAAGGCAGAAGAAUCUUUCAUCGCUUCCAAAACUCGGGAUUUGACCAGAAUUCAGACUCUACACAAGAGGAUCAUAGAAAAGAAGAAUCAAAAUGCCGUUUCAAGACUAAAUAAAGGUUUGAAGCAGGAAAAGAAAGAGCUGAAGCAACCUGUGGUUGCCCCAGCAGCAUCCCCGGAAUCUUAUGCAACUGGGAUU
Molecule: unclassified non-coding RNA, 315 nt
Filed under: Hevea brasiliensis (rubber tree)
Lineage: Eukaryota; Viridiplantae; Streptophyta; Magnoliopsida; Malpighiales; Euphorbiaceae
Source: RNAcentral